Molecule: long non-coding RNA, 3251 nt
Organism: Equus caballus (horse)
Lineage: Eukaryota; Metazoa; Chordata; Mammalia; Perissodactyla; Equidae
Source: Ensembl
CAGGGGCCCUGAAAGAGGUCCUGGGACUUUCAAACUGCUCAACUUCUGUCUGGAUGCCAAUCACGUACCAGGAGAGUCUAGCUCUAAAGAAAGAAGCUCCGGGCCAUGUAACUCCAGCUCUCAAACCUGAGCUGGGAGCACAGGCCAGCCUAAAGGAUGAAGACCACACAACCUGACGGAGACAGCAUCUUACACAUCUCCGUACACUCAGUGCCUGGGGCAGUCCCUCGGACAUAGCAGGCUUCUCUCGCCAGAACAGCAGACUCCCAGACUGACUCAAUCAAGUCAACUCCACUCAUAAAGUCAAAAAAAUAGAUUGGGUUGGAGAUAAGGGUCAAUCAGACUAUUCUCAACAAGUCAAAAUUUCAAGUCACUGGGGAAGUUUUUAAUCCAGUAAUCCCACUGCUCCAGUGAGUUUCUGAAAGCCUUAGUUUUGGUGUUGUCUGUUUCCAUUUAAACACAUUAGCAGCUGAAAUUGGCAAAAAUCAAACCCCUCCUACUGGGUUGUGUGGAAUACCAGAGGGAUACCUGUCAUUAAGCUCCCUUUGAGAGAAGGAAAGCAAACUAUUCAUAAAAUAAAAAUGUAUUUUCCAAACCACAAAAAUUAGGUGCAUCCCACGCUGGGCAGCAGCCCUGCCCCUGGGACUCAGGUGCCAUCACUCUCGCUAGAUCUUUCUCUCCAGAAGAAAUGAACUCCCAUGGAAAGAAGCUCGUCUUCUAGACCUGAAACUGUGUGACCAGCUGCUUGACACUCAAUCAAGGGCGUGGAGACCAUAAUUUAUUUACCUCCCAUCCUAGCACAGAGCCUUGCUUUAUCAAUAGAAGGGACUAGAGCGAUAAUCUUAAAUAUUUAAAACAAAGAAUUAAGAUUAGCCUUUAAGGGAUGUGCUAGACUGAUGGCAAUUGUGGCCCCAACCUGUUCAUACCUCCCUGUACCCAUGCCCUUGGUAGAGUCUUCCCACAUUGACUCUGGGUUUAAGUCCAUGGGACAGUAACAAAUGUGAUGGAAGCAGACUGGAAAAGUACUUGCACCUUGGGGCUUGUCCUCUUUCUGCCCUUGACUCAUGAGUUGCAUGUGAAAAAGCCCAGGCCAGCCAGCUGGGGGAUGAGGGAGCCCGUGGAGCAGAGACAAUGAGCCAUCCCGCUGAGCUGUCCUAUACCAGCUAUACCGAGUGAGCCCAGCCAAGAACAGCCUCACCUGGUCCCAAACAGCAGAACCACCCUGUUAAGCAUGAUCAACAUGCCUGGCCCACAGAACUGGAAGCUAAAUAAAUAGCUAUUCAGCCUUUAGCUUUGGAGCUAGUGUUAUGCAGCAAAAGCUGGUACAAAAGCUAAUUUUCUUCACAAAAAGAACUCCUACAUAUCUUUCACAUCCCAAAACUCUUCCAAAUCAAUAAGGACCUUAGUCUACAAAUACAUUCUCAUUCAUGAGCAAUUUUGUAUGCUCAGAUGUAUGCUUUCUUCUUCUUUUGCAAUGUCACAAUAUUUGAACAAUCUCCAUGACUCCUGCUGUGCUAACACCCAGGUUCUUUUCUCCGUCGUCGCCGUACUUGAUUAUCAGGAACACUGGACACACUUGAUCCUUUUCUGCUCCUUGAAAUACUCUGUCUGGCUUCAGGACCCCACAUUCUCUUGUUUCUCUCUACCUUACUGGCCCUUCUCCCUCUCCUAUGCUGGUUCCUUCUCUUCUCUCUCUCUCUUAAUGUUGGAGAGCUGCCAGCCUCAAUUCUCAGAACGCUUUCUGUCUAUACCCACUCUUGUGGUGAUCGAAUCCAGUCCGGCGGCUUUAAAAAAAGCUUCUCUUUUAUUUUGAUAAUUCACAAAUCUCCACCCUCAGAUCUAGUCUCUCUCCUAAACUUUAAAGGUAAAUAAUAGUAAUAAUCAUCUCAAAUUUAAUAUAUCCAAAACAGAUUUCCUGCCCUUCCUUUCUAAAACCUCUCUGCUGUCGGCAUUUCAGUUGAGGAAGACCAAAUGAUCUGGUGCUGAGGCCCAAAAUCUUAUAGUCACCCUUGAGUCCUCUCCUCUCACACCCAUGGCCAAUCCGACCCUGCUCACUGCUUCCCGUGUUACCACGUGGUCUUCUCUUAUCGCCUGCCCACAUUACUGCAACACCUCCUCACUGGUCUCCCCACUUCCGCUCUGGACCCUCAAGCCUGUUCUCCACCUGGCAGCCAGAAUGAGCUUUCUAUGUGUCAUAUCCUUUCACUCUCUGCUCAAGACCCUCCAGUGGUCCCCAUCUCAGAGUAAAGCCAAUGCCUUAUAAUGGCUUUCAAGGUUCUCAUGGUCGACCCUAAGAUGUCCACAUGGCUUGUUCCCUCACCUUUGUUCAAAUUUCACCUUCUCAGGUGCACCUGCCCGGCCACCUUCAACCACCGUCAAACUCUUCAUCUCUGCUUUUUUUUUCUCCAGAUUCCUUCCAGCAAACAUUCUGUAUAAUUUACUUAUUUUGUCUAUCGCUGGCCCCUCUACAAGGAAUUAGCUUCUUUGUUCACUGCUGUAUUCCUAGCAUCUAGAACAGUGGCACGUGAGCCUGCUUAAGAGUGUUAUUUGACUUUUCCUAUGCGUAAGGAGUGAAUGCACCGGCCAGUCAUGACUUCUAAGUAUUCUGAUUUCUGGGUCAGUUGCUUCUAUUGUAAAUAAGUAAAUGUUCUGGCAUUGUGGUGUUUGGACAUCUGCCUCAAGAUCGUUUGAUGUGCAUAUGCCCACAGGAGAGAGAUUUGCUCUCAGAGUUUACCGUCCGUAAGACCAGGAGCAGCCCCCAGCUUGUGGAAAACUUACAACCCUCUGCCAACUCCACUACUCCUAGGCUCACCCCCACCCUCAAAACAGACGGGAGCAAAUAAUAGAAAGUCUAUCACUGUGCCCAGAAGUCUAAUAAAAUCUACCGUGUCUAAGAUAUGAUACGCUGCACAUCAGCCAAGCCUUUACUCAUUCACACUUUCUGAUUAGAAGCAAAACUUAGCAAGUUUGAGCAGGUCAUCUAUUUCUGAAGACACAUUAUUAUUGACCGUGAAUGCUAAAUUAUACAGACUCCAGAAGAAUUAUUUUAGUCAUUGUCUAAAAAGUAUAUGGACAUAUUUGUUUGGCAUUUGCAUAAAGAAAUAUUAGAGGGAAACACUAGAAACUAUUCAAGCUGAGAGGGACAGGAUGGGGACAGGAACAGGAGUGAUACUUCCUGUGGAAAACCUUUUAAAUCAUUUUGGUUUUUGGACCACAGGAAUAUAGUUCCCAUUCAAAUAAGAAAAUGUAAC